AGCAAUAAAAAAUUUAUUUACAAAGAAAAUGCAUGUUCUUUUUUUUCGUUUAUUUUUCCUUAAAUAUUUUUUUGUUUGCUAUAUAUAAGUGUGUAUGAUGAACCUAUUAAUCCCACAUCUAGCAAAAAAUAAAAUAUAAGGUGAAAUUAACGCUCGCAAUGGCCUCUCGUUCUUGCUUGAUUUUGUGUUUUGCUUUCAUUUUGCUGUCAGGUUUCGUAAAUAGUUUGGGUCCUAAUCCGAACUGCUCUGGGGAAUGCAUAAGUGUUAAAGAGUGCAGUAAAGAUUGCUCUACUAGAGGCUUCAAUAAAGGUGGUUAUUGUUUAGGAAUGGGACUGAAACCUAACUUUGAGCUUUGUUGCUGUAAUUAAUCUUUCAAGAAAGCUAGAUAAAUAAAACACAAAUAUGAACAGUUAUGCAAAUAAAUGGAAAAGAAUAUGAGUUUUAUUUUGUA
Lathyrus oleraceus (garden pea) is the source of this 451-nucleotide long non-coding RNA. RefSeq lists it as uncharacterized. NCBI's taxonomy places the organism in Eukaryota, Viridiplantae, Streptophyta, Magnoliopsida, Fabales, Fabaceae. The transcript has 2 exons. The record is from RefSeq and is a predicted model, not a curated record.